GAUGAACGCUGGCGGCGUGCCUAAUACAUGCAAGUCGAGCGAACGGACGAGAAUCUUGCUUCGCUGAUGUUAGCGGCGGACGGGUGAGUAACACGUGGAUAACCUACCGAUAAGACUGGGAUAACUUCGGGAAACCGGAUCUAGUACCGGAUAAGAGUUUGAACCGCAUGGUUCAAAAGUGAAAGACGUUCUUGCUGUCACUUAGAGAUGUAUCCUCGCUGCAUUAGCUAGUUGGUAAGGUAACGGCUUACCAAGGCAACGAUGCAUAGCCGACCUGAGAGGGUGAUCAGCCACACUGGAACUGAGACACGGUCCAGACUCCUACGGGAGGCAGCAGUAGGGAAUCUUGCGCAAAGGGCGAAAGCCUGACGGAGCAACGCCGCGUGAGUGAUGAAGGUCUUCGGAUCGUAAAACUCUGUUAUUAGGGAAGAACAUAUGUGUAAGUAACUGUGCCCAUCUUGACGGUACCUAAUCAGAAAGCCACGGCUAACUACGUG
This 497-nucleotide ribosomal RNA is filed under the name uncultured bacterium. RNAcentral's name for it is "partial 16S ribosomal RNA". It matches the Rfam family "Bacterial small subunit ribosomal RNA", at positions 28 to 507 of the family's 1533-position model. The record is from RNAcentral.